AUUGAACGCUGGCGGCAGGCUUAACACAUGCAAGUCGAGCGGGGUGAUGGUGCUUGCACUAUCACUUAGCGGCGGACGGGUGAGUAACGCUUAGGAAUCUGCCUAUUAGUGGGGGACAACAUCUCGAAAGGGAUGCUAAUACCGCAUACGUCCUACGGGAGAAAGCAGGGGAUCACUUGUGACCUUGCGCUAAUAGAUGAGCCUAAGUCGGAUUAGCUAGUUGGUGGGGUAAAGGCCUACCAAGGCGACGAUCUGUAGCGGGUCUGAGAGGAUGAUCUGCCACACUGGGACUGAGACACGGCCCAGACUCCUACGGGAGGCAGCAGUGGGGAAUAUUGGACAAUGGGGGGAACCCUGAUCCAGCCAUGCCGCGUGUGUGAAGAAGGCCUUAUGGUUGUAAAGCACUUUAAGCGAGGAGGAGGCUCUUUUGGUUAAUACCCAAGAUGAGUGGACGUUACUCGCAGAAUAAGCACCGGCUAACUCUGUGCCAGCAGCCGCGUAA
Molecule: ribosomal RNA, 502 nt
Filed under: uncultured bacterium
Lineage: Bacteria
Description: partial 16S ribosomal RNA
Rfam family: Bacterial small subunit ribosomal RNA
Source: RNAcentral